CCUACGGGAGGCUGCAGUGGGGAAUAUUGCACAAUGGGGGAAACCCUGAUCCAGCGACGCCGCGUGAGUGAAGAAGUAUCUCCGUAUGUAAAGCUCCAUCAGCAGGGAAGCAAAUGCCGGUACCUGAUUCAGAAGCCCCGGAUAACUAAGUGCCAGCAGCCGGGGUAAUCCGUAGGGGGCAAGCGUUAUCCGGAUUUACUGGGUGUAAAGGGAGCGUAGACGGGAGUACAAGUCUGGAGUGAACUGCCGGGGCUUAACCCCGGAACUGCUGUGGAAACUGGGCAGCUAGAGUGCAGGUGAGGUAAGUGGAAUGCGUGGUGUAGCGGUGAAAUGCGUAGAUAUUAGGAGGAACACCAGUGGCGAAGGCGGCUUACUGGACUGUAACUGACGUUGAGGCUCGAAAGCGUGGGGAGCGAACAGGAUUAGAUACCCCUGUAGUC
This 440-nucleotide ribosomal RNA is filed under the name uncultured bacterium. RNAcentral describes it as "partial 16S ribosomal RNA". It matches the Rfam family "Bacterial small subunit ribosomal RNA", at positions 338 to 795 of the family's 1533-position model. The record is from RNAcentral.